UGGGGAAUAUUGCACAAUGGGCGCAAGCCUGAUGCAGCCAUGCCGCGUGUGUGAAGAAGGCCUUCGGGUUGUAAAGCACUUUCAGCGAGGAGGAAGGGUAGUGUGUUAAUAGCACAUUGCAUUGACGUUACUCGCAGAAGAAGCACCGGCUAACUCCGUGCCAGCAGCCGCGGUAAUACGGAGGGUGCAAGCGUUAAUCGGAAUUAAUGGGCGUAAAGCGCACGCAGGCGGUUUGUUAAGUCAGAUGUGAAAUCCCCGCGCUUAACGUGGGAACUGCAUUUGAAACUGGCAAGCUAGAGUCUUGUAGAGGGGGGUAGAAUUCCAGGUGUAGCGGUGAAAUGCGUAGAGAUCUGGAGGAAUACCGGUGGCGAAGGCGGCCCCCUGGACAAAGACUGACGCUCAGGUGCGAAAGCGUGGGGAGCAAACA
This 427-nucleotide ribosomal RNA is filed under the name uncultured bacterium. RNAcentral's name for it is "partial 16S ribosomal RNA". It matches the Rfam family "Bacterial small subunit ribosomal RNA", at positions 355 to 774 of the family's 1533-position model. The record is from RNAcentral.